RNAcentral lists this ribosomal RNA (735 nucleotides) under Escherichia coli. Its description in RNAcentral is "bacterial SSU rRNA". It matches the Rfam family "Bacterial small subunit ribosomal RNA", at positions 77 to 803 of the family's 1533-position model. Lineage: Bacteria; Pseudomonadati; Pseudomonadota; Gammaproteobacteria; Enterobacterales; Enterobacteriaceae. The record is from RNAcentral.
AGCUUGCUGCUUUGCUGACGAGUGGCGGACGGGUGAGUAAUGUCUGGGAAACUGCCUGAUGGAGGGGGAUAACUACUGGAAACGGUAGCUAAUACCGCAUAACGUCGCAAGACCAAAGAGGGGGACCUUCGGGCCUCUUGCCAUCGGAUGUGCCCAGAUGGGAUUAGCUUGUUGGUGGGGUAACGGCUCACCAAGGCGACGAUCCCUAGCUGGUCUGAGAGGAUGACCAGCCACACUGGAACUGAGACACGGUCCAGACUCCUACGGGAGGCAGCAGUGGGGAAUAUUGCACAAUGGGCGCAAGCCUGAUGCAGCCAUGCCGCGUGUAUGAAGAAGGCCUUCGGGUUGUAAAGUACUUUCAGCGGGGAGGAAGGGAGUAAAGUUAAUACCUUUGCUCAUUGACGUUACCCGCAGAAGAAGCACCGGCUAACUCCGUGCCAGCAGCCGCGGUAAUACGGAGGGUGCAAGCGUUAAUCGGAAUUACUGGGCGUAAAGCGCACGCAGGCGGUUUGUUAAGUCAGAUGUGAAAUCCCCGGGCUCAACCUGGGAACUGCAUCUGAUACUGGCAAGCUUGAGUCUCGUAGAGGGGGGUAGAAUUCCAGGUGUAGCGGUGAAAUGCGUAGAGAUCUGGAGGAAUACCGGUGGCGAAGGCGGCCCCCUGGACGAAGACUGACGCUCAGGUGCGAAAGCGUGGGGGAGCAAACAGGAUUAGAUACCCUGGGUAGUCCACGCCGU